AAUUGCGAAAAGUAAUGUGACCUGCACUCUUUGAGAAGCAUUUUACUCUUUGAACGCACCUUGCACGCACUUGGGCGACCGAGUGCGAGGUCCUGUUUGAGCAUUUUAAAGAAUCUCUGGUAGUCGUGCAAACGAUUACCACAGACCUGGACCCUUUAGCCGGCGCUAGCCAGCCACGGGGACUGAAAAGCAGACAAUGACGUCCGAACGACUCUAGGACGUGUGGCAGUGUGACAAACGAUCACUACCACCCAUAUUGUCAUCUUUACUCUUUGUUCGACUUGUCGAACCACCAGCAAAGAAAGGUUCGAAUCCGAUUCGAACCACUAGUUAAAAAAAAUCUCAAAUCAGGAUAGAGGACCCGCUGAACUUAA
This 374-nucleotide unclassified non-coding RNA is filed under the name uncultured Blastocladiomycota. RNAcentral's name for it is "sequence contains ITS1". The stretch from base 1 to 106 matches the Rfam family "5.8S ribosomal RNA", at positions 51 to 154 of the family's 154-position model. The record is from RNAcentral. Lineage: Eukaryota; Fungi; Blastocladiomycota.